This 301-nucleotide ribosomal RNA is filed under the name uncultured bacterium. Its description in RNAcentral is "partial 16S ribosomal RNA". It matches the Rfam family "Bacterial small subunit ribosomal RNA", at positions 509 to 807 of the family's 1533-position model. The record is from RNAcentral.
CAGUCGCCGCGGGAAUACAGAGGGUGCGAGCGUUAAUCGGAUUUACUGGGCGUAAAGCGUGCGUAGGCGGCUUCUUAAGUCGGAUGUGAAAUCCCUGAGCUUAACUUAGGAAUUGCAUUCGAUACUGGGAAGCUAGAGUAUGGGAGAGGAUGGUAGAAUUCCAGGUGUAGCGGUGAAAUGCGUAGAGAUCUGGAGGAAUACCGGUGGCGAAGGCGGCCCCCUGGACAAAGACUGACGCUCAGGUGCGAAAGCGUGGGGAGCAAACAGGAUUAGAUACCCGUGUAGUCCCUGUCUCUUAUAC